ACUUGGGUGGCUCAGUUGGUUGAGCGUCUGACUUUGGCUCAGGUCAUGAUCUCAUAUCUUGUGGGUUCAAGCCCCACAUCGGGCU
RNAcentral lists this transfer RNA (85 nucleotides) under Felis catus (domestic cat). It matches the Rfam family "tRNA". From Rfam's summary of the family: Transfer RNA (tRNA) molecules are approximately 80 nucleotides in length. Their secondary structure includes four short double-helical elements and three loops (D, anti-codon, and T loops). Lineage: Eukaryota; Metazoa; Chordata; Mammalia; Carnivora; Felidae. The record is from Rfam by way of RNAcentral.